CACCCUGAAUCAUUAAGAUUCCUUCAAGGCCAGCAGCCUUGGGACUUCAGUUCACUAAAAACUCUUCAAGGCCAGCAGCCUUGGAACUUCUCUAGUUCCCUAGGAACUCUUCAAGCCCAAUAGGCUUGAAACUUCAUUUAGUCCCUUCGGACAAGGACCCCUCAGGCCCUGACUUCUUCUUGUUGUUGUAGUUGUUGGUGGUGGUGCUGAGCUGCUAAGAUGUCUUUAAGCAGCUUAAUCAUCUUUUGUACUUAGCAGCUUGGUGUGGUCCUCUUUGCAUUCUGCUUCGAGACUGGACCACAUCAUCUUUGGUGCAGCUGAUCUUCUUCUGUUCUGCUCAUCUUCAUGUAGUGUCAGCUGUACACCAUCACCAUUUCCUGAACCCUUCUUGACAUGUUGGCAGACAUGGUUC
Molecule: long non-coding RNA, 412 nt
Filed under: Panax ginseng (ginseng)
Lineage: Eukaryota; Viridiplantae; Streptophyta; Magnoliopsida; Apiales; Araliaceae
Description: long non-coding RNA (PGIN_LNC016634)
Source: RNAcentral